Molecule: ribosomal RNA, 489 nt
Filed under: uncultured bacterium
Lineage: Bacteria
Description: partial 16S ribosomal RNA
Rfam family: Bacterial small subunit ribosomal RNA
Source: RNAcentral
GACGAACGCUGGCGGCGUGCUUAACACAUGCAAGUCGAACGGUGAAGGGAUCAGCUUGCUGGUUCUGGAUGAGUGGCGAACGGGUGAGUAACACGUGAGUAACCUGCCCCCUUCUUCUGGAUAACCGCAUGAAAGUGUGGCUAAUACGGGAUAUUCUGGGUCUGUCGCAUGAUGGGUCUGGGAAAGAUAUUGUUUCGGUGGGGGAUGGGCUCGCGGCCUAUCAGCUUGUUGGUGGGGUGAUGGCCUACCAAGGCGGUGACGGGUAGCCGGCGUGAGAGGGUGGACGGUCACACUGGGACUGAGACACGGCCCAGACUCCUACGGGAGGCAGCAGUGGGGAAUAUUGCACAAUGGGCGCAAGCCUGAUGCAGCGACGCCGCGUGAGGGAUGGAGGCCUUCGGGUUGUAAACCUCUUUCGCCAGUGAAGCAGGCCUGCUCCUUGUGGGUGGGUUGACGGUAGCUGGAGAAGAAGCGCCGGCUAACUACGUG